Molecule: long non-coding RNA, 1862 nt
Organism: Herpailurus yagouaroundi (jaguarundi)
Lineage: Eukaryota; Metazoa; Chordata; Mammalia; Carnivora; Felidae
Exons: 2
Source: RefSeq, a predicted model, not a curated record
CCAAAAUCAAGAGUUGGAUGCUUAGCCCACUGAGCCACCCAGGUGCCCCACCCCAAGUUUUAAAUUAGAUUAUUCUUGACUGACAGUUUUUUAUCUUUCAAUACUUUAAAUAUGUCAUUCUCCUCUCUCCAGGCCUGUAGAGUUACUGCCAAAGAUCUGCUGAUAGCCUAAUGGGAGCUUUGUUUUUUGUUUGUUUUGUUUUCGUUUUUGUCAGUUACUUUCUUUCCUUGGUUGCCUUUAAAAUUCUUUAUCAUUGACUUUUGACAGCUUCACUGUAACGUAUCUCGGAGAAGGUAGUUUUGCAUUGAGAUAAUAUGGUAUUCUAUUAGCUUCACGGACUUGGAUACGCAGUUCCUUCCUCAGGUUUGGGAAGUGUCCUUAAAUAACCUCUCUGCCUUCUUCCCCUCUCCGUCUUCAUGUAUAUAUGCCCAUUAUUCUUAUGUUCACUCUCCUAACAGAGUCUAGUAAUUCUCAGAGGAUUUCUUCACUUUUAAAAGAUCUUCUGUCUCUUACACUGGAAUCAUUUCUAGAUUCCUGUCUUCCAGAUUGCUUAUUCUCUCUUCCAUCUUAUCUGCUCUAUUUCCAAUGCUUUCCAAUGCAUUCCUUAUCUCCUUUAUUGAGUUCUUCAGCUCCAGAAUUUGUUUGGUUCUUUUUUAGAAUUUCAGUCUCCUUGGUAAAGCACUCCCAUUCAUUAAUUUUAUUCUUGAGUUCACUGAAUUGCCUGAGUUUUUUUACAGAGCUUGUUGAAUUUCUUCAUUACAGCUGUCAAAAAUGAGUGACUUCACAAUACUCCAUGUUUCUAUUUGGUUGCUGAAGAUCUGUCAUUUUCUGUUUGUGAUACCGUAUUACUGUGAUGUUUUUUACUGGCAUUCGAUGAAACGGGCUUCUGUCGCUGCCCUUGAAAUACUGAACACUGUUCACACUUGGUCCGCAGCCAAGGAGGCCUCUCAGCAAGUUGGGCUCUAAGGAAGAGCAGCCAGCCCCUCCAGCUGCAGACGCCUCCCGCCAGUCUCACCCUCCACCUUCUUCGCUGCUGCCUACUGCUGCCGGUGCCACUGUCUCUGCUGCCACCCCAGCGCCACGGCCGCCGCCCCCCUGUUGCCGCCGCCCGAUUCCUCUGUCUCUGCAGCCUCCCCGAGGUCCAGCCCCCCCCCCCCCCCCCCCCCGCCCCGGCCCCCUGCGGGGAUGGACGGACCGCUUCAGUCCCGGUGGAUGUCUGACUAGCUGUAAACGGAGGGGGAGGCACGAAAGCAAUGGCUCACGGGGCCGUGACCGUUUUUCUCGAAGGUUCGAACCGUCGGUUUUUGCAGAUCACAGGUUGCUUUGCGUUUUUAACUGGGACUUCUGUUUUAACCCCAGCAGUGAGUCUCAUCUUCUCAAGCUUGCAGUGAGUGCAGUUCGUGAGAGAAUACAACUGCAGAAAGGUCCAGAAAUUCUGGGCUUUUCCAGACACGGCUGCCUCUGGUAUAGAGCUGCCAGGGGCGCUCUGUGCCUGCUGGGUCGGGAGGAGCCCGGUAGGGGCCGCGACGCCGCUGUCCUUGAAGGCCGCUGUGUCCCUAAGCACAGGCUUCCGGGCACAGGCCCAGAAGUACGACUGAAGGAAAUAGCGGAACCUGAUCCUUCCUUUUCUCUGAAUUCACCCGUGGCCUUUAGUGUUUCAGGCAGGACCUGAUCCUUUCUUUUCUCUAAAUGCAGCCUGUGUCCUGUAGAGUUUCAGGCAGGGUAGAUUUCUGACUCAUUCAUUAGCCUUUAUCUUCUAUUUUGAAUAAUAGUGUCGAAAUAAAAAAAUUGGGAAGACCACGUGUUAGAAAAUGUAAAUCUAACCCCAAACGAUAAAAGACAAUUGAUUUCAACCUUCUGAA